Long non-coding RNA from Ictalurus punctatus (channel catfish), 2240 nucleotides. The record is from Ensembl. NCBI's taxonomy places the organism in Eukaryota, Metazoa, Chordata, Actinopteri, Siluriformes, Ictaluridae.
CAGUGAUUACUGGGAGACGAGCCAAUAUGCAAAUGCAGCUGCUUAUAUAAAACCCAGCUAAAUUAAGAGUCAGGGAUAGAGGUGUACCUGUGAAGCGUUCAUCUCUGUUCGCAUGAAUGAAAGAAUAUAAAUAAAGUCUAAAAGUGUUCACAGGAAAAGGUGUGACCUCUCUGUCUGUCAGUCCUAGUGAAAGAAUGAAGCAGGUGUGUCCUAUGUCCCCUUCAGCUUCAGUAAAGGACGAAGCUGUGGCCUGUUUCUGUCAGUUCCGGUAAAGGAAGGAGGCGUGGCCUUUGUGCCUGUCAGACCCAAUGAAGGAGGCAUAUUCCUGCUAUGUCCUUUGUCUCAUUUAGUCUCAAUGAAGAAGAAAGGACGUGUGGCCUCGGUCCCUGUCCGUCACAGUGGUGAAAGAAGGAGGCGUGGCCUCUGCGUCAGUCAGUUCCAGUGAAAUAGGCGUGGUCCCAAUAUAAGUCUGUACAAGUGAAGAAGGCGUGGCCAUAGUGUCAGUCAGUUCCAGUGAAGAAGGCAUGGCAUCUAUGUCAGUCAGUUCCAGUGAAGGAGGCGUGGCCUCUGUGUCAGUCAGUUCCAGUGAAAUAGGCGUGGCCCCAAUAUAAGUCUGUACAAAGGAAGAAGGCGUGGCCCCAGUGUCAGUCAGUUCCAGUGAAGAAGGCAUGGCAUCUAUGUCAGUCAGUUCCAGUGAAGGAGGCGUGUCCUCUGUGUUUCUCAGUUCCAGUGAAGGAGGUGUGGCCUCUGUCAAGUCAACAAAAAUGGAGCAUAUCUUUAGUCUCGUUCAGUCCCAGGGAAGGAGGAAGGAGGUGUGGCCCCAGUGUCAAUUCCAGUGAAGAAGGCAUGGCAUCUGUGUCUGUCAGUCACAUUAAAUGAGGCGUUUCCCUUGUCUAGUUCAGUCCAGUGAAGGAGGAAGGAGGUGUGUCCUCGGUGCCUGUCAGUCCUAGGGAAGGAGGCAUGGCCACUGUGUUUGUCAAUCACAAUAAAUGAAGUGUUUAUAAGGUGUGGCCUAUGUGUCUGUCAGUCAUAUUGAAAACAACGUGUUCAUAUGUAUGUGAGUGAAGAAAGACAACAACGACCAGCGGUUUCUUAGCCUCUGUUUAUUCCAAAAGUCCAAAAAAUAAAGCAGUCGGUUCACAUUCCAUUUAGAAAAAUCUACUCCGCUUUCCUCUUCACUGAGACUCUACUGAAAAUCUACUGAUGAUCCAAGUCCAUGUGUGUGUAUUUGUGUGUACAUUUGUGGAUUGCCAUUUAAGAAGUUCCUUACAAUCACCAUUUCUCCAACUCAACUUGAACCUCUGCUCAUAUUGUGUGUGUGUGUGUGUGUGUGUGUGUGUGUGUGUGUGUGUGUGUGUGUGUUCAUACAAUUAGAGAUCGGAGUUAUACACAUGGAUGGUCUCUGCUUUUAUAUACAAUACAAUAUACAUAGAAAACUAAUGGAUUGCAGUUACACAGCAUGGCAUAGAAAAAGGGUGCUCAGCAUAGAGGUUGGAUAUCAAUAUUCAUAUAUUUCCUGUGGUGAUAUUCUCUCUCUCAUAUUUCUCAGGUUUCUCAAUUCUCUACAGGAGUUCUACGUGUCUAAAUUCAUUCGCGUUAUCACCACCAUCACCGUCGUCAUUGCUUUAAAAAAAAAGAAAGAAAGAAAGAAAGAAAAACUAAAGGUUCUCAUGCGUUUCACAGUCAGGACUGCAUAUAGUAGUGCACAUAAUCGAAUGUACAAUAUGUUUAAAAGAAGGAAUUUUUAACGAGAUCUAUAAAAGAGAAAUAUCAUGUUUUAUUUAAGUCCUUUCACUUUACCACGCAAACACUGUAUAAACCUGCCAGGAGUAUUUUGGCACAAAACACUAUUUGGCAUUUAGAAAUAGCUCAUGGGAGUUUUACUUGGUCAAACGUUCUCCAAAGGCAGAAAGGAUUGUGAAUAGUUAGAUCAGGGAAUGAAUGGAAAUGGAAAGCAGGCAGGGUUUCUUGCGCCAUGAGUUUUUUGGUUUUAAAUGGCAGGAGUCAGUUCUUGAUGCAUCAUUUUAAUUACGUUUCACCUAGCUAGUAUAAGACUGUUAAAGUCAAACCAUUUUUAGCUCAGAUAUGAUGAUCAAUUACAAUGAAAAUACUCUAUACAGCUGGAAUUAUACUGGAAUUAAAAUGAACAUGGACCACAAACUAAGAAAUAUUUGCCUCGGACUUUAAGACCAUUUGCUGAAGUUUUUUUGAUUAUUCAUAUAUAUAUAUAUAUAUAUAUA